GAUGAACGCUGGCGGCGUGCCUAAUACAUGCAAGUCGAGCGAACAGAUGAGAAGCUUGCUUCUCUGAUGUUAGCGGCGGACGGGUGAGUAACACGUGGGUAACCUACCUAUAAGACUGGGAUAACUCCGGGAAACCGGGGCUAAUACCGGAUAAUAUUUUGAACCGCAUGGUUCGAUAGUGAAAGACGGUUUCGGCUGUCACUUAUAGAUGGACCCGCGCCGUAUUAGCUAGUUGGUAAGGUAACGGCUUACCGAGGCGACGAUACGUAGCCGACCUGAGAGGGUGAUCGGCCACACUGGAACUGAGACACGGUCCAGACUCCUACGGGAGGCAGCAGUAGGGAAUCUUCCGCAAUGGGCGAAAGCCUGACGGAGCAACGCCGCGUGAGUGAUGAAGGUCUUCGGAUCGUAAAACUCUGUUGUUAGGGAAGAACUAAUUUGUUAGUAACUGAACAAGUCUUGACGGUACCUAACCAGAAAGCCACGGCUAACUACGUGCCAGCAGCCGCCGUAA
This 514-nucleotide ribosomal RNA is filed under the name uncultured bacterium. Its description in RNAcentral is "partial 16S ribosomal RNA". It matches the Rfam family "Bacterial small subunit ribosomal RNA", at positions 28 to 523 of the family's 1533-position model. The record is from RNAcentral.